GGUUGUGGCUCAGUGGUAGAGCGCUUGUCUAGCACACGUGAGGUGCUGGGUUCGAUCCUCAGCACCA
This 67-nucleotide transfer RNA is filed under the name Marmota monax (woodchuck). It matches the Rfam family "tRNA". From Rfam's summary of the family: Transfer RNA (tRNA) molecules are approximately 80 nucleotides in length. Their secondary structure includes four short double-helical elements and three loops (D, anti-codon, and T loops). The record is from Rfam by way of RNAcentral. Lineage: Eukaryota; Metazoa; Chordata; Mammalia; Rodentia; Sciuridae.